RNAcentral lists this ribosomal RNA (408 nucleotides) under uncultured bacterium. Its description in RNAcentral is "partial 16S ribosomal RNA". It matches the Rfam family "Bacterial small subunit ribosomal RNA", at positions 29 to 526 of the family's 1533-position model. The record is from RNAcentral.
AGUGAACGCUGGCGGCGUGCCUAAUACAUGCAAGUCGAACGGAGUGGCGCACGGGUGAGUAAUAUAUAGCUAAUCUGCCCCUUGCUGGUGGACAACAGUUAGCAAUGACUGCUAAUACUCCAUAGGAAGGGAUGAGACUAUAUCGUAUCAGCUAGUCGGUGAGGUAACGGCCUACCGAGGGUAUGACGCGUAACUGGUCUGCGAGGAUGAUCAGUCACAUUGGAACUGAGACACGGUCCAAGCUCAGACGGGGAGCAGCAGAAGGGCAUAUUGCGCAAUGAGGGAAACCCUGACGCAGCAACGCCGCGUGGAGGAUUACACUUUUCGGAGCAUAAACUCCUGUUGUUAGGGAAGCGGUACCUGACGAAUAAGCACCGGCUAACUCCGGGCCAGCAGCCGCGGUAAUUC